AUGAGCCGCCAGACUGCAACAGCGUUACCUACUGGAACCUCGAAGUGCACGCCGUCCCAGAGGGUGCCCGCACUGACUGGCACAACUGCAUCCAACAAUGACUUGGCGAGUCUUUUUGAGUGUCCGGUCUGCAUUGACUAUGUGUUACCGCCCAUUCUUCAGUGUCAGAGUGGCCAUCUUGUUUGUAGCAACUGUCGCCCGAAGCCCACAUGUUGUCCGACUUGCCGGGGCCCUCUGGGAUCCAUUCGCAACCUGGCUAUGGAGAAAGUGGCCAAUUCCGUACUCUUCCCUUGUAAAUAUGCCUCUUCUGGAUGUGAAAUAACUUUGCCACAUACAGAAAAAGCAGACCACGAAGAGCUCUGUGAGUUUAGGCCUUAUUCGUGUCCGUGCCCUGGUGCUUCCUGUAAAUGGCAAGGCUCUCUGGAUGCCGUCAUGCCCCAUCUGAUGCAUCAGCAUAAGUCCAUUACGACCCUACAGGGAGAGGAUAUAGUUUUCCUUGCUACAGACAUUAAUCUUCCUGGUGCUGUUGACUGGGUGAUGAUGCAAGUCCUGUUUUGGCUUUCACUUCAUGUUAGUCUUGGAGAAAGAGGAAAAGUACAAUGGUCACCAGCAGUUCUUUGCAAUUGUCCAGCUGAGAGGAACACGCAAGCAAGCUGAAAAUUUUGCUUAUCUACUUGAGCUAAAUGGUCAUAGGCGGCGAUUGACUUGGGAAGCGACUCCACGCUCUAUUCAUGAGAGAAUUGCCACAGCCAUUAUGAAUAGUGACUGCCUAGUCUUUGACACCAGCAUUGCACAGCUUUUUGCAGAAAAUGGCAAUUUAGGCAUCAAUGUAACUAUUUCCAUGUGUUGAAAUGGCAAUCAACAUUUUCUGGCCAGUGUUUAAAACCAUUGCAUUCAGUUUCACAGAGAAUAAGGCACCCAUCUGCCUGUCAACCUGAAACUUUUGGUAGGUGGAAGCUAGACACAUGAAGGUAAAUAAAAGGAAAGGCUGUUAAAUACAGGAAACAGUUGCAUGUAGUAACACUAAUAUAUUUAAAAAUAAGUCAACAGUAAACCACUGAAAAAAUAUAUAUAUACACCCAAGAUGGGCAUCUUUUGUAUUAAGAAAGGAAGCAUUCUAAAAUAAUUCUGAAUUUGUGUUGUAGAUUGUACUGUUGAAAAAUACUGGUUUUUUGUUUUGUGUGUUUGCCGGCGAGUUGCUGUGUGUGUGCGCGCGCGCGUGUGUGUGUGGUUUGUUUUUUUUUUUUCCUUUAACCGACAAGCCAUGUUGAGUGGUCUUGGACCACUGCUUUUCCCCUUUGUGAGUCAAUACAUAGUGCUGCUGUGUGUGUAUAUUUUUUGUGUGUAUUUGCUAAUUUUUAUUAAUUCUAGUUUUUCAUUAAAUAAAUUUGACUUUCUUUUCUGUAA
Molecule: RNA transcript, 1407 nt
Organism: Odobenus rosmarus divergens (Pacific walrus)
Lineage: Eukaryota; Metazoa; Chordata; Mammalia; Carnivora; Odobenidae
Gene name: E3 ubiquitin-protein ligase SIAH1-like
Exons: 1
Source: RefSeq, a predicted model, not a curated record